AGCGAACGCUGGCGGCAGGCUUAACACAUGCAAGUCGAGCGGGCAUCCUUGUGGUGUCAGCGGCAGACGGGUGAGUAACGCGUGGGAACGUGCCCUUCGGUUCGGAAUAACUCAGGGAAACUUGAGCUAAUACCGGAUACAUGCGAGAGCAGAAAGGUUUAUCUGCCGAAGGAUCGGCCCGCGUCUGAUUAGCUAGUUGGUGAGGUUACGGCUCACCAAGGCGACGAUCAGUAGCUGGUCUGAGAGGAUGAUCAGCCACACUGGGACUGAGACACGGCCCAGACUCCUACGGGAGGCAGCAGUGGGGAAUAUUGGACAAUGGGGGCAACCCUGAUCCAGCCAUGCCGCGUGAGUGAUGACGGCCUUAGGGUUGUAAAGCUCUUUUCUCCGGGACGAUAAUGACGGUACCGGAGGAAUAAGCCCCGGCUAACUUCGUG
RNAcentral lists this ribosomal RNA (437 nucleotides) under uncultured bacterium. RNAcentral describes it as "partial 16S ribosomal RNA". It matches the Rfam family "Bacterial small subunit ribosomal RNA", at positions 29 to 507 of the family's 1533-position model. The record is from RNAcentral.